ACGGGGCCCGCACAAGCGGUGGAGCAUGUGGUUUAAUUCGAUGCAACGCGAAAACCUUACCCACCUUUGACAUGUACGGAACCCUUUAGAGAUAGAGGGUGCUCGAAAGAGAGCCGUAACACAGGUGCUGCAUGGCUGUCGUCAGCUCGUGUCGUGAGAUGUUGGGUUAAGUCCCGCAACGAGCGCAACCCUUGUCAUUAGUUGCUACAUUCAGUUGGGCACUCUAAUGAGACUGCCGGUGACAAGCCGGAGGAAGGUGGGGAUGACGUCAAGUCCUCAUGGCCCUUAUAGGUGGGGCUACACACGUCAUACAAUGGCUGGUACAAAGGGUUGCCAACCCGCGAGGGGGAGCCAAUCCCAUAAAGCCAGUCGUAGUCCGGAUCGUAGUCUGCAACUCGACUACGUGACGUCGGAAUCGCUAGUAAUCGUGGAUCAGAAUGUCACGGUGAAUACGUUCCCGGGUCUU
This 466-nucleotide ribosomal RNA is filed under the name uncultured Rhodoferax sp. RNAcentral describes it as "bacterial SSU rRNA". It matches the Rfam family "Bacterial small subunit ribosomal RNA", at positions 916 to 1381 of the family's 1533-position model. Lineage: Bacteria; Pseudomonadati; Pseudomonadota; Betaproteobacteria; Burkholderiales; Comamonadaceae. The record is from RNAcentral.